GCCCUCUUAGCUUAGUGGUAAAGCGGCAGUUUUGUAAACUGUUGACGUCAGUUCGAUUCUGACAGAGGGCUCAA
RNAcentral lists this transfer RNA (74 nucleotides) under Candidatus Gottesmanbacteria bacterium. RNAcentral's name for it is "tRNA-Thr". It matches the Rfam family "tRNA". From Rfam's summary of the family: Transfer RNA (tRNA) molecules are approximately 80 nucleotides in length. Their secondary structure includes four short double-helical elements and three loops (D, anti-codon, and T loops). Lineage: Bacteria; Candidatus Gottesmaniibacteriota. The record is from RNAcentral.